GAACACCAAGUACAAUUGGACGAAGGACCCGUCAACGGCGGGGGUAACUAUGACCCUCUUAAGGUAGCGUAGUACCUUGCCGCUUCAGUAGCGGCUUGCAUGAAUGGAUAAACGAGAGUGCCACUGUCCCAACGUUGGACCCGGUGAACUGUACGUUCCAGUGCGGAGUCUGGAGACCCCCAAGGGGAAGCGAAGACCCUAUAGAGCUUUACUGCAGGCUGUCGCUGAGACGUGGUCGCCGAUGUGCAGCAUAGGUAGGAGCCGUUACACAGGUAUCCGCGCUAGCGGACCACCGAGGCAUCAGUGAAAUACUACCCGUCGGUGACUGCGACUCUCACUCCUGGCGGAGGACACCGGUAGCCGGGCAGUUUGACUGGGGCGGUACGCGCUCGAAAAGAUAUCGAGCGCGCCCGAAGAUCAUCUCAGCCGGGUCGGGAAUCCGGCGAAGAGUGCAAGAGCAAAAGAUGGUCUGACAGUGUCGUUCCCAACGAGCGACGCUGACGCGAGAGCGUGGUCUAGCGAACCUACGAGGUUCCGGAAUGGGACCCGUAGAUGACAGAAAAGCUACCUUAGGGAUAACAGAGUCGUCACUCGCAAGAGCACAUAUCGACCGAGUGGCUUGCUACCUCGAUGUCGGUUCCCUCCAUCCUGCCCGUGCAGAAGCGGGCAAGGGUGAGGUUGUUCGCCUAUUAAAGGAGGUCGUGAGCUGGGUUUAGACCGUCGUGAGACAGGUCGGCUGCUAUCUAUUGGGGGUGUUGAAGGUGCCUGACGUGAACGAACGUAUAGUACGAGAGGAACUACGUUUGGUCGCCACUGGUGUACCGGUUGUUCGGAAGAGCAAUGCCGGGUAGCCACGCGACACGGGGUAAGAGCUGAACGCAUCUAAGCUCGAAACCCACAUGGAAACGAGGCACCGCGGAGGUCACUCGUAGAAGACGAGUUAGAUAGACUCGGGAUGUACGCGCUAAGGCAACGAGGCGUUGUAGUCCACGAGCACUAACAGACCGAGCCACACUC
Molecule: ribosomal RNA, 1017 nt
Rfam family: Archaeal large subunit ribosomal RNA